RNAcentral lists this long non-coding RNA (205 nucleotides) under Setaria italica (foxtail millet). Its description in RNAcentral is "long non-coding RNA (SITA_LNC003649)". Lineage: Eukaryota; Viridiplantae; Streptophyta; Magnoliopsida; Poales; Poaceae. The record is from RNAcentral.
AUAGCGGCCGCAAUAGCGGUAGCGGCCUAUUGCCGCUAUCGCUACUAGGUAGCGGUCGGGCUGUUGCGGUUUGGAACUUUGCGGCCGCAAUUGCGCUAUAGCGGGCCGCAAUAGCGGUGGUAGCAGGCCGCAAUAGCGUGGAAAAAAAUCCUAAUAGCCCAGCCCACCAGUGGACCCCCAUCGGCCAUUCGGCCUCGCCAUCCAG